AAGACUNUCGGGUNGUAAGCUGUGUUGUUAGGAAGAACAAGUGCUUAGUCAAUAAGGUGCACCUUCACGAUNCCUAGCCAAAAACCCUCGCAUCACUCCGUGCCAGCAGNCGCGGUAAUACGUAGGUGGCAAGCGUUAUCCGUAAUUAUUGGGCGUAAAGUUUGCGCAGUUGGUUUUUUAAGUCUGAGGUGAAACCCCGCGGCUCAACCGUGGAGGGUCAUUGGAAACUGGGAGACUUGAGUGCAGAAGAGCAAAGUGGAAUUCCAUGUGUAGCGAGUGAAAUGCGUAGCGAUAUGGAGGAACACCAGUGUCGAAGGCGACUUUCUNGGUCUGUACCUGACACUGAGGCGCGAAAGCGUGGGGAGCAACCAGGAUUAGAUACCCUGGUAGUCCACACCGUAAACGAUGAGUGCUAACUGUUAGAGGGUUUCCGCCCUUUAGUCAUGAAGUUAACGCAUUAAGCACUCCGCCUGGGGAGUUCGACCUCAAGGCUGAAACUCAAAGGAAUUGCCGGGGGCCCACCCAAGCGGUGGAUUCAUGUGGUUUAAUUCGAACCAACGCGAAGAACGCUUAUCAGGUCUUGACAUCCUUGAAAAGCCCUUAGAGAUAGGA
This 612-nucleotide ribosomal RNA is filed under the name bacterium RO_isolate_6. Its description in RNAcentral is "bacterial SSU rRNA". It matches the Rfam family "Bacterial small subunit ribosomal RNA", at positions 411 to 1011 of the family's 1533-position model. The record is from RNAcentral.